CUUCUGCUGUAAGAACUGGAAGGGGCCUGUCUCCAGAUCCCAUCUGCUUAUCUCAAGGAAAGUUUGGGGAACAGCUCCCGUCCCAUUGUCCUAAUGGAUUGGAUGAUAUCUACCCACUUUGGUAAGGAAGAUCUCUAUUCAGUCUACUGAUUCAAAGGUUUACCUCCUCCAGAAACAACCUCACAGAUACAACCAAUACUAAUGUUUCACCAACC
RNAcentral lists this long non-coding RNA (215 nucleotides) under Mustela putorius furo (domestic ferret). RNAcentral describes it as "lncRNA (ENSMPUG00000029322.1)". The record is from RNAcentral. Lineage: Eukaryota; Metazoa; Chordata; Mammalia; Carnivora; Mustelidae.